This 390-nucleotide ribosomal RNA is filed under the name uncultured bacterium. Its description in RNAcentral is "bacterial SSU rRNA". It matches the Rfam family "Bacterial small subunit ribosomal RNA", at positions 29 to 417 of the family's 1533-position model. The record is from RNAcentral.
AUUGAACGCUGGCGGCAUGCCUAACACAUGCAAGUCGAACGGCAGCACAGCAGUAGCAAUACUGUGGGUGGCGAGUGGCGGACGGGUGAGGAAUACGUCGGAAUCUGCCCAGUCGUGGGGACAACUAGCCGAAAGGUUAGCUAAUACCGCAUACGACCGAGAGGUGAAAGCGGGGACCGCAAGGCCUCGCGCGAUUGGAUGAGCCGACGUCGGAUUAGCUAGUUGGCGGGUAAAGGCCCACCAAGGCGACGAUCCGUAGCUGGUCUGAGAGGAUGAUCAGCCACACUGGAACUGAGACACGGUCCAGACUCCUACGGGAGGCAGCAGUGGGGAAUAUUGGACAAUGGGCGCAAGCCUGAUCCAGCAAUGCCGCGUGUGUGAAGAAGGCCU